GACGUGAAGUUAAGCUGGUGAGCCCGCUGAACUUAAGCAUAU
RNAcentral lists this ribosomal RNA (42 nucleotides) under Prorocentrum malayense. RNAcentral's name for it is "partial 28S ribosomal RNA". The record is from RNAcentral. Lineage: Eukaryota; Dinophyceae; Prorocentrales; Prorocentraceae.